RNAcentral lists this ribosomal RNA (449 nucleotides) under uncultured bacterium. RNAcentral describes it as "partial 16S ribosomal RNA". It matches the Rfam family "Bacterial small subunit ribosomal RNA", at positions 29 to 523 of the family's 1533-position model. The record is from RNAcentral.
AACGAACGCUGGCGGCAGGCCUAACACAUGCAAGUCGAGCGAGAUCUUCGGAUCUAGCGGCGGACGGGUGAGUAACGCGUGGGAAUAUGCCCUUCUCUACGGAAUAGCCUCGGGAAACUGGGAGUAAUACCGUAUACGCCCUUAGGGGGAAAGAUUUAUCGGAGAAGGAUUAGCCCGCGUUGGAUUAGGUAGUUGGUGGGGUAAUGGCCUACCAAGCCGACGAUCCAUAGCUGGUUUGAGAGGAUGAUCAGCCACACUGGGACUGAGACACGGCCCAGACUCCUACGGGAGGCAGCAGUGGGGAAUCUUAGACAAUGGGGGCAACCCUGAUCUAGCCAUGCCGCGUGAGUGAUGAAGGCCUUAGGGUUGUAAAGCUCUUUCAGCUGGGAAGAUAAUGACGGUACCAGCAGAAGAAGCCCCGGCUAACUCCGUGCCAGCCGCCGCCGUAA